This is a long non-coding RNA of Patella vulgata (common limpet), 391 nucleotides long. RefSeq lists it as uncharacterized. NCBI's taxonomy places the organism in Eukaryota, Metazoa, Mollusca, Gastropoda, Patellidae. The record is from RefSeq and is a predicted model, not a curated record. The transcript is spliced from 4 exons.
UCCAAACGCUAUUCCAGAAAAUACUAGAAUAUCUCAAAACAUUAUAUAUCAGUUAUCUAAGAUGACGAAUUUAUACAACGCAAAAUUACCAACACACGAUGUGCAAGAUGACUUUACCAGAAGCUGGAGAGGCAGCAGCUUUUCUUAAGCCAGAAAAGAAAUGUUUGAAGAAGUACAUAGGGAACUCUCUAAGAGAGAGUAUGUGGCAAGCUAUGGAAGAGCAGAGAAUAACUUGUGGUGUUAUUGACUGCGCUAAAUUAUUAAAAUGCUAUUACGAGAAUGUGAUGUUAUGUGUUUUACCGGAGGCUGGUAGUGAAGAGGUAUCGGUUCAUAUUCAGCAUACAUUAAUUGAAGCUUUCUGUUGGGAAAAUGAUAUAAGAAUCCUGAAGGU